Molecule: ribosomal RNA, 1433 nt
Filed under: uncultured euryarchaeote
Lineage: Archaea; Methanobacteriati; Methanobacteriota
Description: 16S ribosomal RNA
Rfam family: Archaeal small subunit ribosomal RNA
Source: RNAcentral
UCCGGUUGAUCCUGCCAGAGGUCACCGCUAUUGGAAUCCGAUUAAGCCAUGCGAGUCGAGAGGGUUCAGACCCUCGGCGCACUGCUCAGUAACACGUGGAUAAUCUGCCCUGGGGUUGGGGACAACCUCGAGAAAUUGAGAGCAAUCCCCAAUAGUUCUGGAAUGCUGGAACGCUUUCAGAUAGAAAGAUCCGUCGCCCCAGGAUGAGUCUGCGCUCUAUUAGGUAGUAGUGAGUGUAAGGUACUUACUAGCCUCCGAUGGAUACGGGCCUUGAGAGAGGUAGCCCGGAGAUGGACUCUGAGACAUGAGUCCAGGCCCUACGGGGUGCAGCAGGCGCGAAAACUUCACAAUGCGGGAAACCGCGAUGAGGGGAUUCCAAGUGUCCGCAUAUGCGGACUGUACCGGUCCCUAAAAAGGACCGGGAGAAAGGGCUGGGCAAGACUGGUGCCAGCCGCCGCGGUAAUACCAGCAGCUCUAGUGGUGAUCGCUUUUAUUGGGCCUAAAGCGUCCGUAGCCGGAAAGGUAAAUCCUUGAGUAAAUCGGGCAGCCUAACUGUCCGCUCUUAGAGGAGACUGUCUUUCUUGGGACUGGGAGAGGUCAGGAGUACUCUGGGGGUAAGGGUGAAAUCUUAUCAUCCUCAGGGGACUACCAGUGGCGAAGGCGUCUGACUAGAACGGAUCCGACGGUAAGGGACGAAACCCCGGGGAGCGAACCGGAUUAGAUACCCCGGGUAGUCCGGGGCGUAAACGCUGUGGGCUUGGUGUUGGGGGGUCUUACGUGGGCGCCCAGUGCCGGAGCGAAGUUGUUAAGCCUACCGCCUGGGAAGUACGGUCGCAAGACUGAAACUUAAAGGAAUUGGCGGGGGAGCACUGCAACGGGUGGAGCGUGCGGUUUAAUUGGAUUCAACGCCGGAAAACUCACCGGAGGCGACGAUUACAUGAAGGCCAGGCUGAUGACCUUGCCCGAUUUUUCGAGAGGUGGUGCAUGGCCGCCGUCAGUUCGUUUCGUAAGGUGUUCUGUUAAGUCAGAUAACGAACGAGACCCUUAUCCUUAAUUGCUACCUGCUUUUCCGAAGGUAGGGCACAUUAAGGAAACCGCUGGUGCUAAAUCAGAGGAAGGUAAGGGCAACGGUAGGUCAGUAUGCCCCGAAUCCUCCGGGCUACACGCGCGCUACAAAGGUCGGGACAAUAGGCUCCGACACCGAAAGGUGAAGGUAAUCCGUAAACCUGAUCGUAGUUCGGAUUGAGGACUGUAACUCGUCCUCAUGAAGUUGGAAUCCGUAGUAAUCGCGGGUCAACAUCCCGCGGUGAAUAUGCCCCUGCUCCUUGCACACACCGCCCGUCAAACCAUCUUAGUUGGGUCCAGAUGAGGGUUCAUCUACCUGAUGAAUUCGAAUCUGGGUUCAGCGAGGAGGGUUAAGUCGUAACAAGGUA